GACGAACGCUGGCGGCGUGCCUAAUACAUGCAAGUUGAGCGCUGAAGGUUGGUACUUGUCCCAACUGGGUGAGCAGCGAACGGGUGAGUACUGCGAGGGUACUCUGCCUUUGAGCGUGGGACAACAUUUGGAAACGAAUGCUCAUACCGCAUAAAAACUUUAAACACAAGUUUUAUGUUUGAAAGAUGCAAUUGCAUCACUCAAAGAUGAUCCCGCGUUGUAUUAGCUAGUUGGUGAGGUAAAGGCCCACCAAGGCGAUGAUACAUAGCCGACCUGAGAAGGAGAUCGGCUACAAUGGGACUGGGAAACGGCCCAAACUCCCACGGGAGGCAGCAGUAGGGAAACUUCGGACAUGGAGGAAAGGCUGGCCGAGGAACGGCGCGGUGGUGAAAAAGGGUCUCGGAUCGGAAAACCCUGUUGGGAGGGAAGAAAGGGGAGGAAGGUAAAAAGCUCAUCAAGUGACGUUAACAACAGAGAAAGCGACGGCUAACUACGUG
Molecule: ribosomal RNA, 497 nt
Filed under: uncultured bacterium
Lineage: Bacteria
Description: partial 16S ribosomal RNA
Rfam family: Bacterial small subunit ribosomal RNA
Source: RNAcentral